RNAcentral lists this long non-coding RNA (653 nucleotides) under Pan troglodytes (chimpanzee). Its description in RNAcentral is "long non-coding RNA NONPTRT001328". Lineage: Eukaryota; Metazoa; Chordata; Mammalia; Primates; Hominidae. The record is from RNAcentral.
CUCAAAGACCCUUUUGGUUUGCUGAUUCUCAAAAAUUGGGAAGUACUGCAAAAAUCAUCUGGCAACCAGAAGUGAAUGCAACACUCCAGAUGAAUUGUGAAAAGUACCGAAUUUUCGCCUUUAUUCAGACGCCUGUGCUCCUUUUUUCCAACCAUCUGCUUCUAUAAAUUCAUCACAAUUCUAAUACGGUGUGCGCCCCUCCUCCUUCCCUUACCCUGACCCUAACCUUCCAACCGUUGAUUCCUGCAGCAAUCUUCCCUAAGGGAGACACCCCGGCUGUAGGCUCACUUCCUCUCCCAAGUCCCAUUCCUUUCACAAGAGUCAAAUCCCUACAGUGGAUUCCUGGACCGUUUUUUCUAAAAGAAGAUCCCAGUCCUCUGGCUUGCCCCUCCCGUCGUGACUCCCAGAUCCCCAUCACAAGGAGGGGAGGGCUACCAUCCCAGCUGCAAACUCUCAUUCAAAGUUUAUGCUGCAGCCAGCAGUGUCCUUGGAGUCUAGUUCAAAGCUGAAGAGAGUGAACCAUGGAACUGGGAGCCAUUGGCGGAGAGGCUGGCCUGAAGGAAGGGAAGUGUUUCAGCCAGAAUGCACUGACGCACAACCAGGAAACCACAAGACUGGUGAGAACCUUUCCAAAACUGAGCUUUAUGAUCAAA